RNAcentral lists this ribosomal RNA (253 nucleotides) under uncultured bacterium. RNAcentral describes it as "partial 16S ribosomal RNA". It matches the Rfam family "Bacterial small subunit ribosomal RNA", at positions 524 to 776 of the family's 1533-position model. The record is from RNAcentral.
UACGUAGGGGGCAAGCGUUGUCCGGAUUUAUUGGGCGUAAAGAGCGUGUAGGCGGCUUUACAGGUCCGUUGUGAAAACUCGAGGCUCAACCUCGAGACGCCGGUGGAAACCGUAAAGCUAGAGUCCGGAAGAGGAGAGUGGAAUUCCUGGUGUAGCGGUGAAAUGCGCAGAUAUCAGGAGGAACACCCGUGGCGAAAGCGGCUCUCUGGGACGGUACUGACGCUGAGACGCGAAAGCGUGGGUAGCGAACAGG